ACUAGAGAGGUAUGGGUUAAAAACUCUAGGGCCCCAGCCAGCACGGUGGCUCACGCCUGUAAUCCCAGCACUUUAAGAGGCCGAGGCGGGCAGAUCACGAGGUCAAGAGAUCGAGACCAUCCUGGCCAACAUGGUGAAACCCCGUCUCUACAAAAAUACAAAACUUGGCUGAGCGUGGUGGUGGACGCCUGUAGUCCCAGCUACUCGGGAGGCUGAGGCCGCAGAAUCACUUGAACCCAGGAGGCUGAGGUUGCAGUGAGCCGAGAUUGUGGCACUGAACUCCAUCCUGGCGACAGAGCGAGAUUCCGUAUCAAAAAAAAAAAAAAAAAAAAAAAAAAAAAUCUAGGUCCGUGCUCUCUUAUGUGACUUUGGAAAGUCCAAGGGCACUGAAAAUUACUGAUCUAAACAGAUCCCUCCUACAACGAAUAUUUCAUUCCUAAAGUUUUGUGGAUUCUUACUAUGGAAUGAUAAUAUAAGGUAGGUCACAUUCUUGGUUAAGACAAUUGUAACUUUUUAAAUCUUUCCACCUUUAGUUUUUCUUAAGUUAAAAUGAGACAAAGCAAAGCUAAAGUUUAUAGGCUGCCUACUACAUGUCAGUUUUUGCAGCUUUCAGAUGUUAUCUCAUUCCAUUCCCUUCUUAUAAGUCCACAAUACAAAUAUCCAUUCCACCUCUCUUUCUUUUCUUUUGGUGAGGAAACUUAGAGAUCCCCUUCUCUUUCAUCGUAGGUCAAGCCUCUUUCUCAGAUAUGGAUCCAGUAACUGGCAAUAAGAUGGUGUCAGAAUUGGGAUCCAAAGUAGAGCUUCUAAUGAUCCCCAUGAGCACUGAGUGACCAUCCGAGGUACCUGCCAGUCUUACUGUGUCCUUUGGUCUCUUGGAGCAGCUGGGGACUAUGAGUCUCCGGAUUCCGGGAUCUAAAUGGGUAGUCAUGAUGAGGUAUGAAGACAUUUUCUAUACCAUUUUCUACGCCUAUACCAGCCAGAAUCAAGUCCAACAUGGCUGCUUCCUCCUCUGCUUUUCCUGUUUGCCUCCUGGCUAUUUUGGGAUGGGUUGGAUUCUCCAGAUAUAGUCUUCAUGGCUCUGUUCUCUGUCCUUAUGGAUUCAGAAAGGCCUUGAAUUUCAUAAUCCUCUUGGGUCCCCUGUGGCUACCUAAGACCUAGAAUGCCUAGGGGAAGACAUUAGAAAGGCUACCUGUGUCAAUUUCAAAAUUAUUUUCAGUAAUUUAAAAUUUUAGAGUCAUGUUAUGUAAAAUUAAGUAAUAGAUAAUUAUAAAAUGUCUGAGUCAUCUGUAAGUUGAUAUUGAAAUGUAGAUAUUAAACAUGAGUUUAAGUCUAUAUACCUUCACAUGUUAUUUUUACAUGAUAUAGAAAAGCUAAAUAGAUCUGUCAAUAAACAAUAAUUUGAAGAACUAUUUUUCUUAAAAAAUAUAAAAUGGUUUUUAUCUACAAAUACUGAUAUAAAACAGUUCAAAAUUACUUUCUAGGUUUUUCACUAAAAAAUAGAGAUAAUAAAAGUUAAAAACUACUAGAUAUGAGACAAUUCUGUAUACAGAGUGUAUAAACAAAACCAAGAUAUGUGUUCAAUGGGGAAAGUUAUAAAGGCAUAAAAAUGUGUGUUUAAAAUGUUGUCUGGUUUAAAGUUACUUAAAAGUUUCAAGUUGAAAGAGUAAUAAAAUAGAUACAACACAAUAAACAAAGAAAGUUGGGGAAAAAUGUAAAACAAAAGGUUUAUGGAAAUCUUGUGUGGUUAAAAGAUGACAGAUUUGGUACAUUUAUUUAUAAGGUUUUAUUAAAAUUAAUUUUAGUUUUGAUAAUACACUAAUACAAAAAGAAAACUUGGUUUUCUCUUUUGAACAAAAUUUUUUUGUAGUUUUAAUAACACAUGGUAAAGUAUUUUCAUUCACCUUUUGAGUAAACUGCCAAAAGAGUGAAAAAGACAGAGGAAAGAAGAGACAGAUUCUGUCUCAUGCUGUCUUAGGUCUUUUGUUUGGAAAACUGGGUCUUUUUUUAUCAGAGUACAGGUUUUGGCCUUUAAAAAUCUUUUAAAAUUAUCACUUUGGUUAAAUGAACAACUAUUGUUUUAUGGUGACCAGUGAUCCUAUUUUGUUCAAGUGUUUUAAACCUUUAAUGUAUUUGAUAGGCUUCCCAAAAUCAUAUUUCAGCAUCAAAAUUAAGUCUUCUUUGGCCUCUAACUUUGAGAUGCUAAAGAGGGCCACUGAAGCCCUCUGUAGGGAGGUAAGCAGGAUUAUUUGACAUGUUAAGUUACAUGGGAAGCAUUGUCAAGGAAUAAUGUUUAACCUUCUUCAGGUUAUAUUUAAUGAAUGUCAUUAAUAUAUGUUCCAAAAUUGUAUGGGAUUUCUAAAAUUCUAAUAUGUCUGAGUAUGCACUAUAAAUCACACUUAUGGUUAUAAUGUUGUUAUUGUAGA
RNAcentral lists this long non-coding RNA (2423 nucleotides) under Homo sapiens (human). RNAcentral's name for it is "HSALNT0210105". Lineage: Eukaryota; Metazoa; Chordata; Mammalia; Primates; Hominidae. The record is from RNAcentral.